UACGGGGGGAGCAAGCGUUGUUCGGAUUUACUGGGCGUAAAGGGCGCGUAGGCGGCGCAACAAGUCACUUGUGAAAUCUCCGGGCUUAACCCGGAGCGGCCAAGUGAUACUGUCGUGCUAGAGUGCGGAAGGGGCUACUGGAAUUCUCGGUGUAGCGGUGAAAUGCGUAGAUAUCGGGAGGAACACCGGUGGCGAAGGCGGUUCUCUGGGCCUUACCUGACGCUGAGGAGCGAAAGCGUGGGGAGCGAACAGG
RNAcentral lists this ribosomal RNA (253 nucleotides) under uncultured bacterium. Its description in RNAcentral is "partial 16S ribosomal RNA". It matches the Rfam family "Bacterial small subunit ribosomal RNA", at positions 524 to 776 of the family's 1533-position model. The record is from RNAcentral.